RNAcentral lists this ribosomal RNA (425 nucleotides) under uncultured Acinetobacter sp. Its description in RNAcentral is "bacterial SSU rRNA". It matches the Rfam family "Bacterial small subunit ribosomal RNA", at positions 358 to 774 of the family's 1533-position model. The record is from RNAcentral. Lineage: Bacteria; Pseudomonadati; Pseudomonadota; Gammaproteobacteria; Moraxellales; Moraxellaceae.
GGAAUAUUGGACAAUGGGGGGAACCCUGAUCCAGCCAUGCCGCGUGUGUGAAGAAGGCCUUUUGGUUGUAAAGCACUUUAAGCGAGGAGGAGGCUACCGAGAUUAAUACUCUUGGAUAGUGGACGUUACUCGCAGAAUAAGCACCGGCUAACUCUGUGCCAGCAGCCGCGGUAAUACAGAGGGUGCAAGCGUUAAUCGGAUUUACUGGGCGUAAAGCGCGCGUAGGUGGCCAAUUAAGUCAAAUGUGAAAUCCCCGAGCUUAACUUGGGAAUUGCAUUCGAUACUGGUUGGCUAGAGUAUGGGAGAGGAUGGUAGAAUUCCAGGUGUAGCGGUGAAAUGCGUAGAGAUCUGGAGGAAUACCGAUGGCGAAGGCAGCCAUCUGGCCUAAUACUGACACUGAGGUGCGAAAGCAUGGGGAGCAAACA